This 79-nucleotide transfer RNA is filed under the name Cordylochernes scorpioides. RNAcentral's name for it is "tRNA-Gly". Lineage: Eukaryota; Metazoa; Arthropoda; Arachnida; Pseudoscorpiones; Chernetidae. The record is from RNAcentral.
UGUCCAAUGCGGGAAUCGAACCCGGGUCCUAGUGGUCGGAAACCAAACGGUUUAACCAGCCUUCCACCUAUGUAUAGAU